GAAAAUAUUGCAGCUAUAUAUAUAUGAUGGUUCUUCCCACAACUCUAAGAUGAAUAGUUAACUUUUGGGCAAAAACACUACAAUCAAGUCCGAAUCUUUGUCAAACCUGCUUUUUAUGUGCAGCUGUGCUUGGUCCUUGGCGUCAUUUUAUAUAAUAAAAGAAAUUUGUGAUGGUGGGAAGGUGUUGGGUUUGAACCUUCCUUGGCUAAGAUACUGCAUAAAAUAUCUUAAGAUGUAACUAUAUUUUGC
Molecule: unclassified non-coding RNA, 249 nt
Filed under: Hevea brasiliensis (rubber tree)
Lineage: Eukaryota; Viridiplantae; Streptophyta; Magnoliopsida; Malpighiales; Euphorbiaceae
Source: RNAcentral